GGGGGUGUAGUUCUGUGGUAGAAUGUGUUUAGCAUAUAUGAGGCCCUGAGUUCAAUCCCCAGCACCCCAA
RNAcentral lists this transfer RNA (70 nucleotides) under Marmota monax (woodchuck). RNAcentral describes it as "tRNA.Ala". It matches the Rfam family "tRNA". From Rfam's summary of the family: Transfer RNA (tRNA) molecules are approximately 80 nucleotides in length. Their secondary structure includes four short double-helical elements and three loops (D, anti-codon, and T loops). Further hydrogen bonds mediate the characteristic L-shaped molecular structure. tRNAs have two regions of fundamental functional importance: the anti-codon, which is responsible for specific mRNA codon recognition, and the 3' end, to which the tRNAs corresponding amino acid is attached (by aminoacyl-tRNA synthetases). tRNAs cope with the degeneracy of the genetic code in two manners: having more than one tRNA (with a specific anti-codon) for a particular amino acid; and 'wobble' base-pairing, i.e. permitting non-standard base-pairing at the 3rd anti-codon position. Lineage: Eukaryota; Metazoa; Chordata; Mammalia; Rodentia; Sciuridae. The record is from RNAcentral.